This is a long non-coding RNA of Carlito syrichta (Philippine tarsier), 203 nucleotides long. RefSeq lists it as uncharacterized. The transcript is spliced from 2 exons. The record is from RefSeq and is a predicted model, not a curated record. Lineage: Eukaryota; Metazoa; Chordata; Mammalia; Primates; Tarsiidae.
UGCGUGCGCCUGCGCGAUCGCACGGUUGGUUAUAAAUGCUCACGCCCAGAUCCGCACGUCCCUCUCGAGAUUUCGGACCUUCGUGCUUGUCGGGAUCGCCGAGGACGCUGGUCGCCCCAGCCUGAGGCCGACGCCGCCAGGACCGCUGGGGGAGGGGGACUCGGUUGUGCCCGUGCUUCAAAUAAAACUCUGUCCCUAGUUCA